UACAGAGGUCCCGAGCGUUGUUCGGAUUCACUGGGCGUAAAGGGUGCGUAGGUGGCUUGAAAAGUUUGAUGUGAAAGCUCAGGGCUUAACCCUGAAAUGGCAUUGAAUACUGUCGGGCUGGAGGUUUGGAGGAGGGACUGGAAUUCUUGGUGUAGCAGUGAAAUGCGUAGAUAUCAAGAGGAACACCUGAGGUGAAGACGGGUUGCUGGGCCGACACUGACGCUGAGGAGCGAAAGCGUGGGGAGCAAACAGG
This 253-nucleotide ribosomal RNA is filed under the name uncultured bacterium. Its description in RNAcentral is "partial 16S ribosomal RNA". It matches the Rfam family "Bacterial small subunit ribosomal RNA", at positions 524 to 776 of the family's 1533-position model. The record is from RNAcentral.